Molecule: unclassified non-coding RNA, 173 nt
Filed under: fungal sp.
Lineage: Eukaryota; Fungi
Description: partial internal transcribed spacer region
Rfam family: Eukaryotic small subunit ribosomal RNA (bases 1-46)
Source: RNAcentral
AAGUCGUAACAAGGUUUCCGUAGGUGAACCUGCGGAAGGAUCAUUAGUGUGGGUGUUUGAGAGUGUUGUGCUAUGUCAUUGUGUCACUGUCUCUCGGGACAGCUUUUACCCGUCCAAUCAAUCCAUUUACAUGCGAACCAAUAAAACUGCCAGCAACGAAUCACUUGGUUCUC